UGGGGAAUAUUGGACAAUGGGCGAAAGCCUGAUCCAGCCAUGCCGCGUGAGUGAUGAAGGCCCUAGGGUUGUAAAGCUCUUUUGUGCGGGAAGAUAAUGACGGUACCGCAAGAAUAAGCCCCGGCUAACUUCGUGCCAGCAGCCGCGGUAAUACGAAGGGGGCUAGCGUUGCUCGGAAUCACUGGGCGUAAAGGGUGCGUAGGCGGGUUUCUAAGUCAGAGGUGAAAGCCUGGAGCUCAACUCCAGAACUGCCUUUGAUACUGGAAGUCUUGAGUUCGGGAGAGGUCAGUGGAACUGCGAGUGUAGAGGUGAAAUUCGUAGAUAUUCGCAAGAACACCAGUGGCGAAGGCGGCUCACUGGCCCGAUACUGACGCUGAGGCACGAAAGCGUGGGGAGCAAACA
This 402-nucleotide ribosomal RNA is filed under the name uncultured bacterium. RNAcentral describes it as "bacterial SSU rRNA". It matches the Rfam family "Bacterial small subunit ribosomal RNA", at positions 355 to 774 of the family's 1533-position model. The record is from RNAcentral.